ACGCUCGACACCUACGGGAGGCAGCAGUGGGGAAUAUUGGGCAAUGGGCGCAAGCCUGACCCAGCAACGCCGCGUGAAGGAAGAAGGCCCUCGGGUUGUAAACUUCUUUUGACAGGGACGAAGAAAAUGACGGUACCUGUCGAAUAAGCCACGGCUAACUACGUACCAGCAGCCGCGGUAAUCUGAGCGGGCUGGCAAGGC
This 201-nucleotide ribosomal RNA is filed under the name uncultured bacterium. RNAcentral's name for it is "partial 16S ribosomal RNA". It matches the Rfam family "Bacterial small subunit ribosomal RNA", at positions 328 to 539 of the family's 1533-position model. The record is from RNAcentral.